CCUACGGGAGACAGCAGUGAGGAAUAUUGGUCAAUGGACGAGAGUCUGAACCAGCCAAGUAGCGUGAAGGAUGACUGCCCUAUGGGUUGUAAACUUCUUUUAUAUGGGAAUAAAAUGUUCCACGUGUGGGAUUUUGUAUGUACCAUAUGAAUAAGGAUCGGCUAACUCCGUGCCAGCAGCCGCGGUAAUACGGAGGAUCCGAGCGUUAUCCGGAUUUAUUGGGUUUAAAGGGAGCGUAGGUGGAUUGUUAAGUCAGUUGUGAAAGUUUGCGGCUCAACCGUAAAAUUGCAGUUGAAACUGGCAGUCUUGAGUACAGUAGAGGUGGGCGGAAUGCGUGGUGUAGCGGUGAAAUGCUUAGAUAUCACGAAGAACUCCGAUUGCGAAGGCAGUUCACUGGACUGCAACUGACACUGAGGCUCGAAAGUGUGGGUAUCAAACAGGAUUAGAUACCCGGGUAGUC
RNAcentral lists this ribosomal RNA (460 nucleotides) under uncultured bacterium. Its description in RNAcentral is "partial 16S ribosomal RNA". It matches the Rfam family "Bacterial small subunit ribosomal RNA", at positions 338 to 795 of the family's 1533-position model. The record is from RNAcentral.